CAAGUCGAGGGGCAGCACAGGUAGCAAUACUGGGUGGCGACCGGCAAACGGGUGCGGAACACGUACGGAACCUUCCUUUAAGCGGGGGAUAGCCCAGGGAAACUUGGAUUAAUACCCCAUAAGAAUGCAGAGUGGCAUCACUCAGCAUUUAAAGCUACGGCACUUAAAGAUGGGCGUGCGGCUGAUUAGGUAGUUGGCGGGGUAACGGCCCACCAAGCCGACGAUCAGUAACUGGUGUGAGAGCACGACCAGUCACACGGGCACUGAGACACGGGCCCGACUCCUACGGGAGGCAGCAGUAAGGAAUAUUGGUCAAUGGACGCAAGUCUGAACCAGCCAUGCCGCGUGGAGGAUGAAGGCCCUCUGGGUUGUAAACUUCUUUUAUCUGGGAAGAAACCGGACUUUUCUAAGGCCGUUGACGGUACCAGAUGAAUAAGCACCGGCUAACUCCGUGCCAGCAGCCGCGGUAAUACGGAGGGUGCAAGCGUUAUCCGGAUUCACUGGGUUUAAAGGGUGCGUAGGUGGGCAGGUAAGUCAGUGGUGAAAUCUCCGGGCUUAACCCGGAAACUGCCGUUGAUACUAUCUGUCUUGAAUGUAGUGGAGGUGAGCGGAAUAUGUCAUGUAGCGGUGAAAUGCUUAGAUAUGACAUAGAACAUCGAUUGCGAAGGCAGCUCGCUACACUAUGAUUGACACUGAGGCACGAAAGCGUGGGGAUCAAACAGGAUUAGAUACCCUGGUAGUCCACGCCCUAAACGAUGGAUACUCGACAUCAGCGAUAAACUGUUAGUGUCUGAGCGAAAGCAUUAAGUAUCCCACCUGGGAAGUACGACCGCAAGGUUGAAACUCAA
This 848-nucleotide ribosomal RNA is filed under the name uncultured Sphingobacteriia bacterium. RNAcentral describes it as "bacterial SSU rRNA". It matches the Rfam family "Bacterial small subunit ribosomal RNA", at positions 58 to 904 of the family's 1533-position model. Lineage: Bacteria; Pseudomonadati; Bacteroidota; Sphingobacteriia. The record is from RNAcentral.